CGCUGGCGGCGUGCCUAACACAUGCAAGUCGAACGGGGUUACGGGAGCUUGCUUCUGUAACUUAGUGGCGAACGGGUGAGUAACACGUGAGGAACCUGGCCUUUCAGUGGGGGACAACAGUUGGAAACGACUGCUAAUACCGCAUAAUGUACUAUAGGGGCAUCCCUUAAGUACCAAAGCUUUAUGUGCUGAAAGAUGGCCUCGCGUCUGGAUUAGAUAGUUGGUGGGGUAACGGCCUACCAAGUCAACGAUCAGUAGCCGGUCUGAGAGGAUGAACGGCCACAUUGGGACUGAGACACGGGCCCAAACUCCUACGGGAGGCAGCAGUGGGGAAUAUUGCACAAUGGGGGAACCCUGAUGCAGCGACGCCGCGUGAGUGAAGAAGUAUUUCGGUAUGUAAAGCUCUAUCAGCAGGGAAGAAAAUGACGGUACCUGACUAAGAAGCCCCGGCUAACUACGUG
Molecule: ribosomal RNA, 461 nt
Filed under: uncultured bacterium
Lineage: Bacteria
Description: bacterial SSU rRNA
Rfam family: Bacterial small subunit ribosomal RNA
Source: RNAcentral